GACGAACGCUGGCGGCGGGCUUAACACAUGCAAGUCGAACGGUAAGGCCCUGCUUCUGUGGGGUGCUCGAGCGGCGAACGGGUGAGUAACACGUGUGUAACCUGCUCUCUAAUUUGGGAUAAUUUCAGGAAACUGGGGCUACUAAUGGAUAGGAGUUUCUGCUGCAUGAUGGGGGUUGGAAUGUUGCGGCGGUCUGGGAUGGAUUCGCGGCUUAUCAGCUCGUUGGUGGGGUAGUGGCUUACCCAGGGUUUGCCGGGUAGCCGGCCUGGGAGGGUGACCAGCCACAAUGGGACUGAGGUACGGCGCAGACUCCUACAGUGGGCAGCGGUGGGGAAUAUUGCGCAGUGAGCGGAAGCCUGAUACGGCAACGCCGCGUGCGUGAUGUCGGCCUUCGGGUUAUAAACCGCUUUAGCCUAUGACGAUGCGUGAGUGACGGUAAUGGGUGAAGAAGCACCGGCUAACUACGUG
RNAcentral lists this ribosomal RNA (468 nucleotides) under uncultured bacterium. RNAcentral's name for it is "partial 16S ribosomal RNA". It matches the Rfam family "Bacterial small subunit ribosomal RNA", at positions 28 to 507 of the family's 1533-position model. The record is from RNAcentral.